Lontra canadensis (Northern American river otter) is the source of this 344-nucleotide long non-coding RNA. RefSeq lists it as uncharacterized. The record is from RefSeq and is a predicted model, not a curated record. NCBI's taxonomy places the organism in Eukaryota, Metazoa, Chordata, Mammalia, Carnivora, Mustelidae. The transcript has 3 exons.
GACUAAUAAUCAGGUAAAUGUUCAGAAGGCAGAGAAGGACAGUAAGAAAGCAGUUUUCUUUCAUGCUGGAAUCCCAGGUUCAAGCACAUUAAACUUCAAAACAACCCCAACAGCCUCUGCCCCGGGGAACCGGCAGUCACCUAACAGAGAGGAAUCCGGUAACAGAUCAGAAACAAGGUGGAAAACUGAGAGUCCGGAAUCGAUUGAUGCCUACACCAGCUUGUCGCUGUGCAUCUGGGAAUCAGAAAGAUGGGAUUCCAAGAGCCGGGCUCGCUUCCUGACCUGGAGCCCAGACACAGGACUUUUAAAACAAUGCCCGAUUCUCGGUGGCUUACACAAUCGAA